RNAcentral lists this ribosomal RNA (490 nucleotides) under uncultured bacterium. RNAcentral describes it as "partial 16S ribosomal RNA". It matches the Rfam family "Bacterial small subunit ribosomal RNA", at positions 29 to 507 of the family's 1533-position model. The record is from RNAcentral.
AUUGAACGCUGGCGGCAGGCCUAACACAUGCAAGUCGAACGGCAGCACAGAAGAGCUUGCUCUUCGGGUGGCGAGUGGCGGACGGGUGAGUAAUGUCUGGGAAACUGCCCGAUGGAGGGGGAUAACUACUGGAAACGGUAGCUAAUACCGCAUAACGUCGCGAGACCAAAGUGGGGGACCUUCGGGCCUCACACCAUCGGAUGUGCCCAGAUGGGAUUAGCUAGUAGGUGGGGUAACGGCUCACCUAGGCGACGAUCCCUAGCUGGUCUGAGAGGAUGACCAGCCACACUGGAACUGAGACACGGUCCAGACUCCUACGGGAGGCAGCAGUGGGGAAUAUUGCACAAUGGGCGCAAGCCUGAUGCAGCCGUGCCGCGUGUAUGAAGAAGGCCUUCGGGUUGUAAAGUACUUUCAGCGGGGAGGAAGGCGAUGUGGUUAAUAACCGCGGCGAUUGACGUUACCCGCAGAAGAAGCACCGGCUAACUCCGUG